This 253-nucleotide ribosomal RNA is filed under the name uncultured bacterium. Its description in RNAcentral is "partial 16S ribosomal RNA". It matches the Rfam family "Bacterial small subunit ribosomal RNA", at positions 524 to 776 of the family's 1533-position model. The record is from RNAcentral.
UACGAAGGGGGCUAGCGUUGCUCGGAAUUACUGGGCGUAAAGGGCGCGUAGGCGGAUAGUUUAGUCAGAGGUGAAAGCCCAGGGCUCAACCUUGGAACUGCCUUUGAUACUGGCUAUCUUGAGUUCGGGAGAGGUGAGUGGAAUGCCGAGUGUAGAGGUGAAAUUCGUAGAUAUUCGCAAGAACACCAGUGGCGAAGGCGGCUCACUGGCCCGGAACUGACGCUGAGACGCGAAAGCGUGGGGAGCAAACAGG